GAUGAACGCUGGCGGCGUGCCUAAUACAUGCAAGUCGAGCGGACGGACGAGAAGCUUGCUUCUCUGAUGUUAGCGGCGGACGGGUGAGUAACACGUGGAUAACCUACUUAUAAGACUGGGAUAACUUCGGGAAACCGGCGCUAACCCCGUAUAAUAUUUUGAACCGCGUGGUUCAAAAGUGAAAGACGGUCUUGCUGUCACUUAUAGCUGGAUCCGCGCUGCAUUAGCUGGUUGGUAAGGUAAUGGCUUACCAAGGCAACGAGGCAUUGCCGACGUGAGAGGGUGAUCGGCGGCACGGGAACUUAGACGCGGACAUGGGGACUACGAGAGGGAGCAGUAGGCUACGUGCCGCAGUAGGCGGAAGCCUGACGGAGCAAGGGCGCGUGUGUGAUGAAGGUCUUCGGAGCGGGAUACUGUGUUAUGAGGGAAGAACAGAUGUGGAAGGAAACGAGCACAGAGUGACGGUAACUAAUCAGAAAGCAACGGCUAACUACGUG
Molecule: ribosomal RNA, 497 nt
Filed under: uncultured bacterium
Lineage: Bacteria
Description: partial 16S ribosomal RNA
Rfam family: Bacterial small subunit ribosomal RNA
Source: RNAcentral